GCCCUUACUGCUCAGUAACACGUGGUCAAGCUAACCUAUGGACGUGGAUAACCUCGGGAAACUGAGAAUAAACCGCGAUGGAUCAUGAUGCCUGGAAUGGCUUAUGGUCGAAAUAGUUUACUGCCAUAGGAUGCGACUGCGGCCUAUCAGUUAGUUGGUGAGGUAAUGGCCCACCAAGACUAUUACAGGUACGGGCUCUGAGAGGAGAAGCCCGGAGAUGGGUACUGAGACACGGACCCAGGCCCUAUGGGGCGCAGCAGGCGAGAAACCUUAGCAAUGUGCGAAAGCACGACUGGGUUAGUCCGAGUGAUUCCUGCUAAAGGAAUCUUUUGCCGGUCCUAAAAGCACCGGUGAAUAAGGGGUGGGCAAGUCUGGUGUCAGCCGCCGCGGUAAUACCAGCACCUCGAGUGAUCAGGACGUUUAUUGGGCCUAAAGCAUCCGUAGCUGGCUUUGCAAGUCUCCGGUUAAAUCAACCUGCUCAACAGAUUGGCCGCUGGAGAUACUACAAGGCUAGGGAGUGGGAGAGGCAGACGGUAUUCGGGGGGUAGGGGUAAAAUCCUCUGAUCCUCUGAGGACCACCAGUGGCGAAGGCGGUCUGCCAGAACACGUUCGACAGUGAGGGAUGAAAGCUGGGGGAGCAAACCGGAUUAGAUACCCGGGUAGUCCCAGCUGUAAACGAUGCAAACUCGGUGAAGCAUUGGCUUAAUGCUAAUGCUGUGCCGCAGGGAAGCCGUUAAGUUUGCCGCCUGGGAAGUACGGUCGCAAGAUUGAAACUUAAAGGAAUUGGCGGGGGAGCACAAGGGC
RNAcentral lists this ribosomal RNA (804 nucleotides) under uncultured archaeon. RNAcentral's name for it is "bacterial SSU rRNA". It matches the Rfam family "Archaeal small subunit ribosomal RNA", at positions 79 to 885 of the family's 1478-position model. The record is from RNAcentral.